RNAcentral lists this ribosomal RNA (440 nucleotides) under uncultured bacterium. Its description in RNAcentral is "partial 16S ribosomal RNA". It matches the Rfam family "Bacterial small subunit ribosomal RNA", at positions 338 to 795 of the family's 1533-position model. The record is from RNAcentral.
CCUACGGGAGGCAGCAGUAGGGAAUAUUGCUCAAUGGGGGAAACCCUGAAGCAGCAACGCCGCGUGGAGGAUGAAGGUUUUCGGAUUGUAAACUCCUUUUGUUAGAGAAGAUAAUGACGGUAUCUAACGAAUAAGCCACGGCUAACUCCGUGCCAGCAGCCGCGGUAAUACGGAGGGUGCAAGCGUUACUCGGAAUCACUGGGCGUAAAGGGCGCGUAGGCGGGAUAUCAAGUCAGAUGUGAAAUCCUAUGGCUUAACCAUAGAACUGCAUUUGAAACUGUUAUUCUAGAGUAUGGGAGAGGUAGGUGGAAUUCGUGGUGUAGGGGUAAAAUCCGUAGAGAUCAAGAGGAAUACUGAUUGCGAAGGCGACCUGCUAGAACGUAACUGACACUGAUGCGCGAAAGCGUGGGGAGCAAACAGGAUUAGAUACCCCUGUAGUC